GACCUAGAAAAUUAAAAAAAAUGUUGAAUUUGGUUGAAAAUACGAUGUGCACCAUUAUGUUGUAGCCACACCCCUAGGCUCGCUCCAUUCCAGAUGAGCAGUUGGCAACUGUAAAAGAAAAUGGCAACCUACAACUAACUUAGCAGCAAGAAUGAGGUAUUUGGCUUGAGGCACAUAGUGGUGAAACAGAGACUUGAACGAAACGACGGCAGCCAGGUUCAACUUGCUCAAGUACACACUAGUUCCACUCUCCAAUCUUUGUCUUGUGGUCCUGCCUGACUCCAAAAGAUUGAGAUUCAAAGGUCCACUAAAUAUUACGUCCCCCAUAACUAAUAAUCAGGUCCAGAUGGGGCUUUUAAAGACAACCUGGUAUAACCAUUAUCAAGUCAAGUGCAAAACCCUUCAAGGCAUCCAUAUUUUGGCUCAGGAUCAAAAGUGAGUUGCGUCAUACUGAGGGACAAUUUCACCUCGAGGGCUGAACAACAAUAGCAUACAGUACAUUAGGACCUAAAAUAAAUGGAUUAAUAGUCUAUCUGUCUAAACUAACACUAAGCAUGUACUGUACAGCAAAUACAAUUUAGCAUAAAAACAGAUUAAUGUACGAGGAUUGAUAUGAAAACGUUUACGUUUAUUUAAACGUUAUAUUGUUUAGUUUUAUUUACGUACGUAUUUAUUAGUUGUACAAUGUUCAUCUUGUUUUCAAUUGUCAAUUAUUUUACUGGUUCUUUUAUCACAAACAAAUGAUUUAGGUUUCAUUACCUGACACGAUUCAUCAGAGGCGGAAGUGAUAGCCGAAACAUGUCAGACAUUGAGCAAAUCCAAGAGUGAGGCCAAAAAGAGAAGAUUGAGCUGAAUCCCAGAGGAUGAAGCCGAUGUCGUUCAAGUGGUUGCUGAGCUCGGGGUCGUGGAAGGCGAUCAUUUGCGAGAAGACGGUCAGGUACUCUGAAAAGAGGUCACAAAUGACACGGAGAGACCUUGAUCAGUCUGUCGAAGAGGAUGACGCGAAGGAGCUGGUAUUCGGUGUCUCUCUCGCGGAUGAUGAGCGGUAGCGUGACGGUGGCCGACAACUCGUUGGCGCUGUUGGAGUGCGCCAGACUUGACUGUCUGUGGCAAGGGGAACAAUAACAAACAGUGUGUGGUGCCAUUUCUUGGCCCCUGUGGCAAUUAGGCUGAAAAAUAAAAAACGUACUCGUCCUCCAGCAGAGGGAAAUAAGAUUCUCCUGCAACGUCUUUCAGUCUCUGGUAAAGGACAAAAGAUCGUUUUUAAAAGUAGUAGCAAUUAUUUGACUGUUUGCUCUUCUUGUUGGUCUUACAUUCCUGAGCUGGCAGAGAGAAAGCGUCACCGUGGUGUCGUCUAGCAAGAAACUACGAUCCCUGCCCUGGCCGAACGACUCGCCAUCCUCCAGCACGAAACUUCAUAUGAGCAAGAAAAGAUUGAGAUUAUCCAGCGGUGUGCCGACUAACAAACAAAUGUGGAUGUGCUAUACUUGGGCAGCGUGCAUAUGGGAGGUUUGGACUGGAUGAUCUCCUUGUUGGUCAGCUCCUUCUCGAGGUCGCCCCCUGCAAGGCACCACAGGUGGUACACCUCGUUGAUGGCUCGCUCUGAAAGGUAAUCGUCGUCGUCCCCUAAAAGCCGCAGAAGCCAAAUGAUUAUAUUUGCUGAUGCUGUAUCGGUACACAAAUGUUAAAUAUUGAUAUUGACUUUUAGUUGAUGACUAUAGCUUUAAAUAAAUACAUAUUAAAAUGAUCAUAAUUGGAUUGGUAGAGUGAGUUAUAAGGAUUGUAUAUUCCAUAUAUGCAAGGUAUUUAGUCAAAUUGGUCAUUUUAAAAAAAAAAUCACAAGAUUUAGUAGCCAUCUGAAUGUUCAAAACAUUUCUUAAGGAGAAAUGUUUAGGAUUCUUUUUUAAAUCUAAGACAGUUCCCAGUGGGUGCAAUAACGCUUUUGUCAAAAUAUCCGAAGGUUUCGGAAUUAUAGCACACUACACACCCUCUCUUUUUAUAGCCGCACUGAAAUUAGCCUGUAUGACAUUGGAGGUUAAUGGAAAGUUUAAAAAUACGUUUUCAGAUUCUACUGGAUAUAAAUAUUCUCUGUGAUAAUUGAAAAGCAAAAAAAGUUAGGAACCAGAAUUCAAACUUCCACUUGAACUAGCAUUUCAGUUGGAGCCUAGAAGACCCGUUUGUCCGGCUAUAUUGACGAGCAUUUAAGGUGAAAUAUCAGCAUGCACAAAGAGAGCGUUUGAGACCAACCUUUGCAAAGGUCGCUGAUGUCCUCGGGGAGCUCCAGAUGUGCACAGCGUAGCGAGGAUGAGAACAGGCUGACAGGCUUCUGGAAGGGCGUGUACAGGCACGACACGCCAUCGAACACGGCGUCUCCCAAAAGCUCGCGUGGGCUUGGCCUGGAGGUUGAACAUGCAGCAUGUGUUUGUUGCUGCCAUUUUGUAGAAUAUCUCAGGGGAUCAGCAAAAAAAAAAAAAUUCCUAACCUGAAAACGUAUUAAAAAAACACUGCUAAAGAUUUAACAGGGGACGGAUGUAAAUGUAUAAAUUAAUUUGUUUUUCUUAUUAGGGAGGGUGGCAGUGUCCAUACAACCCCCCAGCUAGCUCCGCCCUUGGUCCAAAUGUUUCCCUCUAAUGGCCACAUACAAAAAAAGGGAAGGAUUAAAAAGUCACUUGUUGGGAAAUGGCGUACCGUUUAGAAGGCAGGAAGGUCAAGCAUUUCCGCAGCAACUCUAGAACGUUCUCGGGCAGCUCCUGUCAAAAACAUUUCAUCAGCCAACCUAACCUACUUUUUGUCAAAAGUAUGAAAAAGUAACCAGUGGUAUUUUUAUAUUGACGCAGAAUACAACUGGACCAAAA
Long non-coding RNA from Syngnathus typhle (broad-nosed pipefish), 2855 nucleotides. RefSeq lists it as uncharacterized. NCBI's taxonomy places the organism in Eukaryota, Metazoa, Chordata, Actinopteri, Syngnathiformes, Syngnathidae. The transcript is spliced from 4 exons. The record is from RefSeq and is a predicted model, not a curated record.